UACGUAGGCAGCGAGCGUUGUUCGGAGUUACUGGGCGUAAAGCGUGCGUAGACGGCUAUCUAAGUCGGGUGUGAAAGCCCCGGGCUCAACCUGGGAAUUGCAUUCGAGACUGAAUAGCUAGGGUGCGGUAGAGGGAAGCGGAAUUUCCGGUGUAGCGGUGAAAUGCGUAGAUAUCGGAAGGAACAUCAGUGGCGAAAGCGGCUUCCUGGACCAGCACCGACGUUCAGGCACGAAAGCGUGGGGAGCAAACAGG
RNAcentral lists this ribosomal RNA (253 nucleotides) under uncultured bacterium. RNAcentral describes it as "partial 16S ribosomal RNA". It matches the Rfam family "Bacterial small subunit ribosomal RNA", at positions 524 to 776 of the family's 1533-position model. The record is from RNAcentral.